This 522-nucleotide ribosomal RNA is filed under the name Klebsiella pneumoniae. RNAcentral's name for it is "partial 23S ribosomal RNA". It matches the Rfam family "Bacterial large subunit ribosomal RNA", at positions 419 to 944 of the family's 2925-position model. Lineage: Bacteria; Pseudomonadati; Pseudomonadota; Gammaproteobacteria; Enterobacterales; Enterobacteriaceae. The record is from RNAcentral.
GGGACACGUGGUAUCCUGUCUGAAUAUGGGGGGACCAUCCUCCAAGGCUAAAUACUCCUGACUGACCGAUAGUGAACCAGUACCGUGAGGGAAAGGCGAAAAGAACCCCGGCGAGGGGAGUGAAAAAGAACCUGAAACCGUGUACGUACAAGCAGUGGGAGCACCUUCGGGUGUGACUGCGUACCUUUUGUAUAAUGGGUCAGCGACUUAUAUUCUGUAGCAAGGUUAACCGUAUAGGGGAGCCGCAGGGAAACCGAGUCUUAACUGGGCGUUAAGUUGCAGGGUAUAGACCCGAAACCCGGUGAUCUAGCCAUGGGCAGGUUGAAGGUUGGGUAACACUAACUGGAGGACCGAACCGACUAAUGUUGAAAAAUUAGCGGAUGACUUGUGGCUGGGGGUGAAAGGCCAAUCAAACCGGGAGAUAGCUGGUUCUCCCCGAAAGCUAUUUAGGUAGCGCCUCGUGAAUUCAUCUUCGGGGGUAGAGCACUGUUUCGGCUAGGGGGUCAUCCCGACUUACCAACC